AAAUUGAAGAGUUUGAUCAUGGCUCAGAUUGAACGCUGGCGGCAGGCCUAACACAUGCAAGUCGAACGGUAACAGGAAGCAGCUUGCUGCUUUGCUGACGAGUGGCGGACGGGUGAGUAAUGUCUGGGAAACUGCCUGAUGGAGGGGGAUAACUACUGGAAACGGUGGCUAAUACCGCAUAACGUCGCAAGACCAAAGAGGGGGACCUUCGGGCCUCUUGCCAUCAGAUGUGCCCAGAUGGGAUUAGCUUGUUGGUGAGGUAACGGCUCACCAAGGCGACGAUCCCUAGCUGGUCUGAGAGGAUGACCAGCCACACUGGAACUGAGACACGGUCCAGACUCCUACGGGAGGCAGCAGUGGGGAAUAUUGCACAAUGGGCGCAAGCCUGAUGCAGCCAUGCCGCGUGUAUGAAGAAGGCCUUCGGGUUGUAAAGUACUUUCAGCGGGGAGGAAGGUGUUGCGGUUAAUAACCGCAGCAAUUGACGUUACCCGCAGAAGAAGCACCGGCUAACUCCGUGCCAGCAGCCGCGGUAAUACGGAGGGUGCAAGCGUUAAUCGGAAUUACUGGGCGUAAAGCGCACGCAGGCGGUCUGUCAAGUCGGAUGUGAAAUCCCCGGGCUCAACCUGGGAACUGCAUUCGAAACUGGCAGGCUUGAGUCUUGUAGAGGGGGGUAGAAUUCCAGGUGUAGCGGUGAAAUGCGUAGAGAUCUGGAGGAAUACCGGUGGCGAAGGCGGCCCCCUGGACAAAGACUGACGCUCAGGUGCGAAAGCGUGGGGAGCAAACAGGAUUAGAUACCCUGGUAGUCCACGCCGUAAACGAUGUCUACUUGGAGGUUGUGCCCUUGAGGCGUGGCUUCCGGAGCUAACGCGUUAAGUAGACCGCCUGGGGAGUACGGCCGCAAGGUUAAAACUCAAAUGAAUUGACGGGGGCCCGCACAAGCGGUGGAGCAUGUGGUUUAAUUCGAUGCAACGCGAAGAACCUUACCUGGUCUUGACAUCCACGGAAGGUCUCAGAGAUGAGACUGUGCCUUCGGGAACCGUGAGACAGGUGCUGCAUGGCUGUCGUCAGCUCGUGUUGUGAAAUGUUGGGUUAAGUCCCGCAACGAGCGCAACCCUUAUCCUUUGUUGCCAGCGAUUAGGUCGGGAACUCAAAGGAGACUGCCAGUGAUAAACUGGAGGAAGGUGGGGAUGACGUCAAGUCAUCAUGGCCCUUACGACCAGGGCUACACACGUGCUACAAUGGCGCAUACAAAGAGAAGCGACCUCGCGAGAGCAAGCGGACCUCAUAAAGUGCGUCGUAGUCCGGAUUGGAGUCUGCAACUCGACUCCAUGAAGUCGGAAUCGCUAGUAAUCGUGGAUCAGAAUGCCACGGUGAAUACGUUCCCGGGCCUUGUACACACCGCCCGUCACACCAUGGGAGUGGGUUGCAAAAGAAGUAGGUAGCUUAACCUUCGGGAGGGCGCUUACCACUUUGUGAUUCAUGACUGGGGUGAAGUCGUAACAAGGUAACCGUAGGGGAACCUGCGGUUGGAUCACCUCCUUA
Molecule: ribosomal RNA, 1542 nt
Filed under: Salmonella enterica subsp. salamae
Lineage: Bacteria; Pseudomonadati; Pseudomonadota; Gammaproteobacteria; Enterobacterales; Enterobacteriaceae
Description: bacterial SSU rRNA
Rfam family: Bacterial small subunit ribosomal RNA
Source: RNAcentral